Molecule: ribosomal RNA, 248 nt
Filed under: uncultured bacterium
Lineage: Bacteria
Description: partial 16S ribosomal RNA
Rfam family: Bacterial small subunit ribosomal RNA
Source: RNAcentral
GACGCAAGUCUGAUGGAGCAACGCCGCGUGAGUGAAGAAGGGUUUCGGCUCGUAAAGCUCUGUUGGUAGUGAAGAAAGAUAGAGGUAGUAACUGGCCUUUAUUUGACGGUAAUCAACCAGAAAGUCACGGCUAACUACGUGCCAGCAGCCGCGGUAAUUCCGGAUUUAUUGGGCGUAAAGCGAGUGCAGGCGGUUCAAUAAGUCUGAUGUGAAAGCCUUCGGCUCAACCGGAGAAUUGCAUCAGAAAC